This 363-nucleotide ribosomal RNA is filed under the name uncultured bacterium. RNAcentral's name for it is "partial 16S ribosomal RNA". It matches the Rfam family "Bacterial small subunit ribosomal RNA", at positions 338 to 698 of the family's 1533-position model. The record is from RNAcentral.
CCUACGGGUGGCAGCAGUGAGGAAUAUUGGUCAAUGGGCGGGAGCCUGAACCAGCCAAGUCGCGUGAGGGAAGCCGGUCCUAUGGAUUGUAAACCUCUUUAGGCGGGGAGCAAUGCCGGGCACGCGUGCCCGGAGGGAGAGUACCCGAAGAAAAAGCAUCGGCUAACUCCGUGCCAGCAGCCGCGGUACUACGGAGGAUGCGAGCGUUAUCCGGGUUUAUGGGGUUUAAAGGGUGAGCAGGCGGAUUUUUAAGUCAGCGGUGAAAUCGUGGGGCUCAAACCCAUCCAGCCGUUGAAACUGGGGAUCUAGAGUGUGCGAGAGGUAUGCGGAAUGCGUGGUGUAGCGGUGAAAUGCAUAGAUAUC